UGGGGAAUAUUGGACAAUGGGGGAAACCCUGAUCCAGCCAUGCCGCGUGUGUGAAGAAGGCCUUUUGGUUGUAAAGCACUUUAAGCAGUGAAGAAGACUCUUCGGUUAAUACCCGGAGACGAUGACAUUAGCUUCAGAAUAAGCACCGGCUAACUCUGUGCCAGCAGCCGCGGUAAUACAGAGGGUGCAAGCGUUAAUCGGAAUUACUGGGCGUAAAGCGAGCGUAGGUGGCUUGAUAAGUCAGAUGUGAAAUCCCCGGGCUUAACCUGGGAACUGCAUCUGAUACUGGCAGGCUAGAGUAGGUGAGAGGAAGGUAGAAUUCCAGGUGUAGCGGUGAAAUGCGUAGAGAUCUGGAGGAAGACCGGUGGCGAAGGCAGCCUUCUGGCAUCAUAAUGACACUGAGGCGCGAAAGCGUGGGUAGCAAACA
RNAcentral lists this ribosomal RNA (427 nucleotides) under uncultured bacterium. Its description in RNAcentral is "bacterial SSU rRNA". It matches the Rfam family "Bacterial small subunit ribosomal RNA", at positions 355 to 774 of the family's 1533-position model. The record is from RNAcentral.